CAGUCGCCGCGGGAAUACGGAGGGGGCUAGCGUUGUUCGGAAUUACUGGGCGUAAAGCGCACGUAGGCGGCUUGGUAAGUUAGAGGUGAAAGCCCGGAGCUCAACUCCGGAAUUGCCUUUAAGACUGCCGAGCUAGCAGGUGAGAGAGGUAAGUGGAAUUCCGAGUGUAGAGGUGAAAUUCGUAGAUAUUCGGAAGAACACCAGUGGCGAAGGCGGCUUACUGGCUCAUACUGGACGCUGAGGUGCGAAAGCGUGGGGAGCAAACAGGAUUAGAUACCCCCGUAGUCCCUGUCUCUUAUAC
This 301-nucleotide ribosomal RNA is filed under the name uncultured bacterium. RNAcentral describes it as "partial 16S ribosomal RNA". It matches the Rfam family "Bacterial small subunit ribosomal RNA", at positions 509 to 807 of the family's 1533-position model. The record is from RNAcentral.